GUCUAAUGAUGAAAUAUGAUACCGCCCCAGUCUGAACAUUAAGGAUGACAGGUAUUUGCUGAUUAGAC
This 68-nucleotide small nucleolar RNA is filed under the name Tetranychus urticae (two-spotted spider mite). The record is from RNAcentral. Lineage: Eukaryota; Metazoa; Arthropoda; Arachnida; Trombidiformes; Tetranychidae.